Molecule: ribosomal RNA, 157 nt
Filed under: uncultured bacterium
Lineage: Bacteria
Description: partial 16S ribosomal RNA
Rfam family: Bacterial small subunit ribosomal RNA
Source: RNAcentral
UGAGGAAUAUUGGUCAAUGGGAGAGAUCCUGAACCAGCCAAGCCGCGUGAGGGAAGACGGCCCUAUGGGUUGUAAACCUCUUUUGUCGGAGAACAAAACCCGGGACGUAUCCCGGACUGCGUGUAUCCGAAGAAAAAGCAUCGGCUAACUCCGUGCC